UUCACUCCACUGCAGCCCCGGGAACUUGAAAUAAACAUUGAGGCGGUUUCUGCUAGCAAUUUCAGCUAACUUUACCCAAGAAGCAAAAGAAAAAAGGGGUGGGGGACUUCGGAAUUUGAGUUGGCCAGAAGCACCUGAGAGCUGGCCUCUGCAGCAGGUAAUGGACCACCUCGGAGAGGGCUACAUUUUCUAGAAGUGCUGAAAGUCCCUUCCUGCUGUGUGGUCCCUGGGAGCAGGAACAGAUACCUUAAUAUAUACUGCCCACUCAUAAGAACUGCAGCUCGGAGACAUUUUUAAAGAGGCUGAAACUCUCCAUGAAAGUGUUCCAGAAGUGUAAACUCAGGAAAAUGAACACACAAAGCCAUUUUAUGCAUUAUUUGAAGAUUCAGUGGCAACCAGUGUGGGGAAGCGGUGGAGCCCGCGCGAAGCGAUUGUGAGGGGCUCUGCUGGAAUUUGGCAACGUGGAGGCUUGGAGAGCAGCCCCAUGCUGGCUCCUAUUCAGCAGGCCAGUUUUCCUCGAGCUUUGGAAGUUUCACUCAGCCGUGCACUCAAUGGCUUCACAAAGCUGAUUACAAGCUUCAGCGCAUUCCUGAAGGAGCCAAAAGCGACGCAGGUGCAAACGAGCCGAGGGAGCCCCUUAUCCCGGUGACAGAAUGGGACAAGCUGGGAAAGGCUUGGACCACACAAAUCCAAGCUCACCAGGCAGCAGAAAGCCUGCCUUGGGAACCGGGGGUCAUUAUCCGCCCUAUUCAGCGGGGCCCGGGGACCCUAGGGGUCCGAAAGGCCGGCCUGCGCCGGAGCGCCAGUGCGCGUCUGUGGGAGUGGAGACCUUGCCUAGCCCUGCGGCGGGGCUGGGGCGCUGAACAGCGGUGUGUGCGUUUCGACCUACAGCAUCCUCGAUAUCCGUGAUCCGACGGGCCAUGUCAACACCACUAGGGACAAAGGAGGAAAGGGCGUGCAAGAGGCAACACGGGCGUGGACAGUGCGCAACGUGGUUCACCCCGAGUCAGAUGGCACUGCCCUACCCCCUUUCCAGCCUGGAGCGGCAGGUCCCUGUCGGUUCCCCAGGCCACCGACUUAGCUCAGAGAGUCACACUGUGCCUUUUCUCCCCCAGUGCGCUUUUCCCAUUCAUCCUCGCGGCUACCGGGGCCGCGGGGGGGCGGCUACACGAGGUGCGCUGGGAGCUACAGUGAUUAGGCAGUAGAAUCUGGGGGCACUCAGCCACAGGGCC
Artibeus jamaicensis (Jamaican fruit-eating bat) is the source of this 1232-nucleotide long non-coding RNA. RefSeq lists it as uncharacterized. The transcript has 3 exons. The record is from RefSeq and is a predicted model, not a curated record. NCBI's taxonomy places the organism in Eukaryota, Metazoa, Chordata, Mammalia, Chiroptera, Phyllostomidae.